AAAAAAAUGAUAGAAAAAUAAAAAUUAUGAAAAAGAAGGAAGAAUGAGAGUAGAGUUAAAAGAUGAUUAGAAAAAUGAGGAAAAAAAGAGAAAAUGAUUAGAGAAGAAAAUAAAUGAAGAGAAAAUAAUAGAAAAAAUAUAGAUAGAAAGAAAAUGAUAGAAGAAAAUAAUAUGAGAGGAAAUAAUAUGAAUGAUAAUUAUAGAGAAAAUGAAGAAUAAGAGAAGAAAGAGAAGAAAAUAAUGGGAAAGAAAAUGGAGAAAGUGAAAGGAAAAUUAUGAA
This 280-nucleotide long non-coding RNA is filed under the name Manihot esculenta (cassava). RNAcentral describes it as "long non-coding RNA (MESC_LNC012436)". The record is from RNAcentral. Lineage: Eukaryota; Viridiplantae; Streptophyta; Magnoliopsida; Malpighiales; Euphorbiaceae.